Molecule: unclassified non-coding RNA, 318 nt
Filed under: Hevea brasiliensis (rubber tree)
Lineage: Eukaryota; Viridiplantae; Streptophyta; Magnoliopsida; Malpighiales; Euphorbiaceae
Source: RNAcentral
GUGCCGCCGAGCUGCUGCGCCAUGGUCUGCUCGCCGUAGCAGAUGCCGAGCACAGGCACGCCCGCGGUCAGGAUCGACAUCGGCGCGGACGGUGCAUCCUGAUCGAGCACCGAGGCCGGGCCGCCGGACAGGAUCACGGCUUUAGGCUUCAUCUCCCGGAAAGCCGCUUCGGCCUUCUGGAACGGCACGAUUUCUGAAUAAACGCCGUCCUCACGGACACGGCGCGCGAUGAGCUGGGUCACCUGCGAGCCGAAAUCGACAAUCAGAAUCUUUUCGUGAGCGGCCGCCAUGUCGGGCGUCGCUGGAGCGGUCUGGCUG